Molecule: unclassified non-coding RNA, 262 nt
Filed under: Melitaea cinxia (Glanville fritillary)
Lineage: Eukaryota; Metazoa; Arthropoda; Insecta; Lepidoptera; Nymphalidae
Description: misc RNA ENSMCXG00005019021.1
Source: RNAcentral
UUUCUCGGUAACAUUUUUUUUUAUUGCAGUUAUAUACAUCUUUCUUUAUAUGUGCAUUCAGAUUUAAGAAUAGGUUUAUACAAAUAUCAUAAACAAUAAUUUAACGUCAGAAAUUAGUUAAUUUAUAAAAAAAAAAUAUACGUAUGAAAUAAAAAAUACAAAAACACUUAAGAUAACACUUAAUGGUAUAAUAUCGACCGUAUUCAGAUGAUAUAUCAUCUUAAAGCAUAUAACUUUUCGAACAUUGAGAUGAAGCGUCAAA